RNAcentral lists this ribosomal RNA (467 nucleotides) under uncultured bacterium. RNAcentral describes it as "partial 16S ribosomal RNA". It matches the Rfam family "Bacterial small subunit ribosomal RNA", at positions 28 to 507 of the family's 1533-position model. The record is from RNAcentral.
GACGAACGCUGGCGGCGUGCUUAACACAUGCAAGUCGAACGGAAAGGCUCCAGCUUGCUGGUGUACUCGAGUGGCGAAAGGGUGAGUAACACGUGGGUAAUCUGCCCUGCGCUCUGGGAUAAGCCUGGGAAACUGGGUCUAAUACUGGAUAUGACCUUUCUCCUUAUGGGGUUUGGUGGAAAGUUUUUCGGUGUAGGAUGAGCCCGCGGCCUAUCAGCUUGUUGGUGGGGUGAUGGCAUACCAAGGCGACGACGGGUAGCCGGCCUGAGAGGGUGAUCGGCCACAUUGGGACUGAGAUACGGCACAGACUCCUACGGGAGGCAGCAGUGGGGAAUAUUGCACAAUGGGCGGAAGCCUGAUGCAGCGACGCCGCGUGAGGGAUGACGGCCUUCGGGUUGUAAACCUCUUUCAGCAGGGACGAAGCGUAAGUGACGGUACCUGCAGAAGAAGCACCGGCUAACUAUGUG